GGGGCGUUAGCUCAGCUGGUUAGAGCAACGGACUCAUAAUCCGUCGGUCGCGGGUUCAAGUCCCGCACGCCCCACCA
This 77-nucleotide transfer RNA is filed under the name Microbacteriaceae bacterium. Its description in RNAcentral is "tRNA-Ile". It matches the Rfam family "tRNA". Rfam says of the family: Transfer RNA (tRNA) molecules are approximately 80 nucleotides in length. Their secondary structure includes four short double-helical elements and three loops (D, anti-codon, and T loops). Lineage: Bacteria; Bacillati; Actinomycetota; Actinomycetes; Micrococcales; Microbacteriaceae. RNAcentral also lists the same sequence under 2 other names. The record is from RNAcentral.